AACAGGGAUUGCCCCAGUAACGGCGAGUGAAGCGGCAAGAGCUCAGAUUUGAAAUCCGGCGCCCCCCGGGGGCGCCCGAGUUGUAAUGCAGAGGGACCUCCUGGCGCGGCGCCGUCCGAGUUCCCUGGAACGGGACGCCUCAGAGGGUGAGAGCCCCGUACGGUCGGACGCCCAGCCUGUGUGGAGCCCCUUCGGCGAGUCGAGUAGUUUGGGAAUGCUGCUCAAAAGGGAGGUAUACGCCUUCUAAAGCUAAAUACCGGCCAGAGACCGAUAGCGCACAAGUAGAGUGAUCGAAAGAUGAAAAGCACUUUGAAAAGAGGGUUAAACAGUACGUGAAAUUGUUGAAAGGGAAGCGCUCGCGGCCAGACUCGGGCCCGGCGGAUCAUCCGGCGCUCGCGCCGGUGCACUCCGCCGGGCUCCGGGCCAGCAUCGGCCCGGGCGGGGGACAAAGGCGCCGGGAACGUGGCUCCCCAGGGAGUGUUAUAGCCCGGCGCGCAACGCCCCGCGGCGGGCCGAGGUUCGCGUCCGCAAGGAUGCUGGCGUAAUGGCCACCAGCGACCCGUCUUGAAACACGGACCAAGGAGUCGUCUUCGCAUGCGAGUGUUCGGGCGUCAAACCCGUGCGCGCAAUGAAAGUGAACGCUGGUGGGAGCCCCUCGCGGGGCGCCGCCGACCGAUCCUGAAGUUCACGGAUGGAUUUGAGUAGCAUGCGGGGCCGGACCCGAAAGAAGGUGAACUACCUGUGUAGGGUGAAGCCAGAGGAAACUCUGGUGGAGGCUCGCAGCGGUUCUGACGUGCAAAUCGAUCGUCAAACAUGGGCAUGGGGGCGAAAGACUAAU
This 838-nucleotide ribosomal RNA is filed under the name Ophiocordyceps unilateralis. RNAcentral's name for it is "partial large subunit ribosomal RNA". It matches the Rfam family "Eukaryotic large subunit ribosomal RNA", at positions 67 to 935 of the family's 3401-position model. Lineage: Eukaryota; Fungi; Ascomycota; Sordariomycetes; Hypocreales; Ophiocordycipitaceae. The record is from RNAcentral.